CAGAAUCAUAUGUGCCUUUGAAGAGGAAGGAGGGUUGCUCUUAUUAGAAGGGCAGUGAGGUAACAAGCCUUCUAAGAUGGUCCCAGAUGAUCCCCACCACCUCCUGUAUCCAGGCCUUCUGUAAUUCCCUCCCCUUGAGUUUCUAUUCUACAGGUAAGAAAAUGGAAGCCUGGAGAGUUGAUGUGACUUGCUCAGGAUCACUUAUCAGGGAAGUGACAGUGCUGGGACACAAGCAAAGUGUGUCCACUCCACACAGCCCACGUGUCCACUCCACAAGGCCCACUCGUGCCUGCAGAUGGGGCCUGCAGAUGGGGCUGAAUCCAACGUGAGGCCUUCACGCGGGGAGGGCUGACCGGCUUGAUUGUACAGCUUUCAUAGAAUCACUCUGUUCUUUUU
Canis lupus familiaris (dog) is the source of this 396-nucleotide long non-coding RNA. RefSeq lists it as uncharacterized. The transcript is spliced from 2 exons. The record is from RefSeq and is a predicted model, not a curated record. Lineage: Eukaryota; Metazoa; Chordata; Mammalia; Carnivora; Canidae.